UACGUAGGGCGCAAGCGUUAUCCGGAAUUCUUGGGCGUCAAGAGCUCGUAGGCGGUUUGUCGCGUCUGCCGUGAAAGUCCGGGGCUCAACUCCGGAUCUGCGGUGGGUACGGGCAGACUAGAGUGAUGUAGGGGAGACUGGAAUUCCUGGUGUAGCGGUGAAAUGCGCAGAUAUCAGGAGGAACACCGAUGGCGAAGGCAGGUCUCUGGGCAUUAACUGACGCUGAGGAGCGAAAGCAUGGGGAGCGAACAGG
Molecule: ribosomal RNA, 253 nt
Filed under: uncultured bacterium
Lineage: Bacteria
Description: partial 16S ribosomal RNA
Rfam family: Bacterial small subunit ribosomal RNA
Source: RNAcentral